UACAGAGGGUGCAAGCGUUAAUCGGAAUUACUGGGCGUAAAGCGCGCGUAGGUGGUUUGUUAAGUUGGAUGUGAAAGCCCCGGGCUCAACCUGGGAACUGCAUCCAAAACUGGCAAGCUAGAGUACAGUAGAGGGUGGUGGAAUUUCCUGUGUAGCGGUGAAAUGCGUAGAUAUAGGAAGGAACACCAGUGGCGAAGGCGACCACCUGGACUGAUACUGACACUGAGGUGCGAAAGCGUGGGGAGCAAACAGG
This 253-nucleotide ribosomal RNA is filed under the name uncultured bacterium. RNAcentral's name for it is "partial 16S ribosomal RNA". It matches the Rfam family "Bacterial small subunit ribosomal RNA", at positions 524 to 776 of the family's 1533-position model. The record is from RNAcentral. RNAcentral also lists the same sequence under 1 other name.